Molecule: small RNA, 275 nt
Filed under: Otolemur garnettii (small-eared galago)
Lineage: Eukaryota; Metazoa; Chordata; Mammalia; Primates; Galagidae
Description: Metazoan signal recognition particle RNA (ENSOGAG00000032210.1)
Source: RNAcentral
GCCUGGUGUUGUGUUGGGCACCUGUAGUCCCAGCUACUGGGAGGCUAAGACUAGAGAAUCACUUAAGCCCAGGAGAUUGAGGUUGCUGUGAGCUGUGAUGCCAUGACACUCUACUGAGGGUGACAUAGUGAAACUUUGUCUCAAGGAAAAAAAAAUCCUGAUUUUAUUUAUUUACUUAGAGACUAAGUGUCACUUUUUCACCCUGGGUAGAGUGCCAUGGUGUCAUCAUAACUCACAGCAACCUCAAACUCUUGGGCUCAAGUAACCCUCCAGCC